GACGAACGCUGGCGGCGUGCUUAACACAUGCAAGUCGAACGCUGAAGCUUGGUGCUUGCACUGGGUGGAUGAGUGGCGAACGGGUGAGUAAUACGUGAGUAACCUGCCCUUGACUCUGGGAUAAGCCUGGGAAACUGGGUCUAAUACUGGAUACGACAUGCCACUGCAUGGUGGUGUGUGGAAAGGGUUUUACUGGUUUUGGAUGGGCUCACGGCCUAUCAGCUUGUUGGUGGGGUAAUGGCCUACCAAGGCGACGACGGGUAGCCGGCCUGAGAGGGUGACCGGCCACACUGGGACUGAGACACGGCCCAGACUCCUACGGGAGGCAGCAGUGGGGAAUAUUGCACAAUGGGCGGAAGCCUGAUGCAGCGACGCCGCGUGAGGGAUGACGGCCUUCGGGUUGUAAACCUCUUUCAGCACGGAAGAAGCGAGAGUGACGGUACGUGCAGAAGAAGCGCCGGCUAACUACGUG
This 472-nucleotide ribosomal RNA is filed under the name uncultured bacterium. RNAcentral describes it as "partial 16S ribosomal RNA". It matches the Rfam family "Bacterial small subunit ribosomal RNA", at positions 28 to 507 of the family's 1533-position model. The record is from RNAcentral.